GGGGCCUUCCUUCCCGCUCGGCCCUUCCUGACGCACCCGGGCAGGAUGCAGCCUCCACCUCCCAAGACCCGGCCUGGAAUCGCGGAGGGAAUCCCGGUGGUGGGAAAGCCUGAUGCGUCGGAGCGGCCCCCGCGUACUCCUCGUGGGACCCGGGCAGGGCUCGCCCUGGGUCUCGCAAGCUUUCGCCAUGCCUCUCAGGGCCCCCAGACAGGACUAUGGAGGGAGGCACCCUCCUGACCCCAGUGUUGACCCAUUCACUUAUUCAGCCGGUUCACGUGUGUCCCCCCCUCGCUGUUUCAGCCGGGAGAGGGCGCUGGCCUGUGCUCCCUGCUGUGCCCAGCAACUUGACCGGAGCCCAAUCCUUCCUGGUGCUGAGGCCUGAAAGGGUAUCUUGAGGCUUCAGAAGUUGGAGCCGCCCUGGGAGGGUCUCAGUCAUUUCACUCAGGACAGUGGGCAGGCCCCUCCGGUCACAGCGUGGCAAGCCAGCCCUGCCGGCCAGGCGCUGACCCUCUUCUCCAGCGCUGCUCCCACGAACGGGGGCCUGGAACCCAGUAGCCUGUUUUAUGUCAAGCAGCACCUGUGGAGAACAUCAUGGUCUUCGAAGCCAGCCUUUGAACCUGAGGCUUGGGCAGGAGAGAGCCCUGGGCUGGGAGUUGGAGGCUUGAGUCUCAGACUCAGAAACAGGUGGUGACCCUCUCCUGUUUCUCCACCCAGUGACCUGACUCCAGGCGGCAUCUGAAAGUUGGACAUUACCGCUCAACCCUCCAUGACCCCCAAUGCUCCCUGGUCGCCCGAAGGCCUCAGAAGAUAUGACCCCGCUUUCUUCUUCAACAUGACCUGACUGCCCCACUCUGGCCACAGGGGCCUUGCUUUGGUCCUCUCCAUCACCUCUAGCCACAGGACCUCUGCAUGGGCAGUUUCUGCUGCCUGUGAUGCUCUUCACACUUCUGCCUAGACUCCUCCUCCUCUGGACCUCUGUUUGGUGGUUACCUCUGUGGGGAAGCCUCCAGCGGCAGGGAGCCAGGCCCUCCUAUCACCUAUUCUCAGGGCCCCCUGCCACUCUCUGCAGCAGACCAUCAUUGUAUUAUUAGACUUUGGUUUCACUGCCAGGCUGUCAACUUCAGGAGGGCAGCGUCCACGGUUGUCCUUGUCACUGCUCUAUUCCUGGCACUCAGAAGAGGGCCCAGUAAAUACAAAGCACAUGUCUUCUUGGCUUCUUCAUGGGUGCUCACAAAGUGAAGAAGGUGUCUUGGAGGUGACUAGGGUGAGGAGACCUCACUCCUAUGGCAAGCGUGGUCAGAGAACAGGGCUCCACAGCUUGCUAAGCCUGACUUUCAAACCAUGUGGCCUGUGAACCACAUCACUUCAUAUGUACUAUCCUUGAAGCUAAUGACAUAAUCUGAGUUCUACAGAUGAUGCUACUGACACUUAGAUAGGGAGAAAGGACUUGCCCAAGGUCAUAGGAGGUGUGCAAGUGGCUGAGCUUCUCCUAUUCUUGUCAGAGUAACUCAUUUGCUGAGUUAGGCUUUGGGUAAAUUAGGCUUUAGGCCUUUUGGAAGUUGACAGAAAUGACAAUGACAAAAGUCUACACCAUAACAUGAGAGGCAGUCAAAGCAGUACUCAGAGGAAAAUUUGUAACAUUAACUCUAGGUACAUUUAUUAGAAAACAAGACUUAAAAUAAUCUUAGCUGUCAAGUCAAGAAGCCAGAAAAAGAACAAAACACCAAAAAGUAGAAAGAAAAUAACAAAGACAAAAGCAGAAAUUGAUGAAAUAGAAAAUUAAA
Long non-coding RNA from Canis lupus familiaris (dog), 1784 nucleotides. RefSeq lists it as uncharacterized. The record is from RefSeq and is a predicted model, not a curated record. Lineage: Eukaryota; Metazoa; Chordata; Mammalia; Carnivora; Canidae. The transcript is spliced from 3 exons.